RNAcentral lists this long non-coding RNA (960 nucleotides) under Rhinopithecus bieti (black snub-nosed monkey). RNAcentral describes it as "lncRNA (ENSRBIG00000045216.1)". The record is from RNAcentral. Lineage: Eukaryota; Metazoa; Chordata; Mammalia; Primates; Cercopithecidae.
GUGUAACAAGAAAACAAAUUUAUUGACUUCCAUGUACCACUAGAUUAAGCAGAUAAUCCAUUCAAAAUUUUCACUCAAUUUUUUUUUUUGCUAGAAUCUAUGGAAUGCCAUUGUUUAUGAUGCCAGAUGAUCUGAAAACUAUGCAAAGCUUCACUCAUCCUUCACAAAAGCCAAACCACCAGAAUAAUGACUGGCAAGAAGAAUGGUUUUAAUAAUCCAGGAUCCUCAACCUCAAAGUACCUGGAGUCUGAAAUCUGGUGCUUCCUGCAAGCAAAUAAUCACAGAUUGGCAGCUUAUGUCCUACAAUGGUGAUACUUGGAUAUGUACUACUGGUCCUUCCUGAAGAGAACUUGAGAAGUUUUCAAAGAGAAACAAUAUUCAGGACCAAUAUAUGUGCUUGACUAGGAGAGGCAAGAAGAGAGACUAUUUCAGAGAAUGGGGCCACCAUGCUAAUUACUCUUCCUAGGUGCCAGAGUUACUGUCUUCUUGCAUUAGCUAUGCUGAGCUUCUGCAGUUCUUGAUGUUAAUUUUAUGCAGUCUGUGUUGGUGAGCCAUGAGGAAGGACAAGGAGAAGUACAGAAAGGAGAGUGUUGCCCCUCUUAUAGUCUUGAAUACUCCAGUGCCCAUUUGAUAUUGGCAGAUAUUUGAACACUGACUCAUUUAACCUGUUUCUGUCAUCUCUAGGAGGCAUGUGCUUCUUUAUAGCUUGGGGGUAACUGGGAGAACAUCAUAACGGUUCCUACUUCUCCAGCCUACAAAUGGAGCCUUUGGGAGAGAAACAUCCCAAGCAGUGCCUUGGCUAGUGGACGCUCUUCUUUGUCCAGCUGGGAUCCAACACCAACUGGGUUCCCUUGAUGUCUACAAAUGGUAGACCUUCUUGGAGCAUCAUGCGAAUAGCCUCAAAGGACUGUUUAUUUGGCACAAUGACGAGAACUUAUUAGUUUACAAUUUUAAUACCCC